CGGGGUAGUGGUGCUAUUAUCUGUAGGUAUGAAUGCUUACUUUAUCUCCAAUGCUCAUUAUGGUUGCCUUAUUUCACUGUUCACUCAUAGACUGCAAAUAAUGAGGUAAAACACUUUAUCAGCAUCUCAAGUUUUUUCAACCAUCAGUAGGAUUUAAUAUGCAUUUUUGCAUGAAGUGACUAUACCAUUCACAUAGAAGUUUUCUAUUUGUUGUUGGUCCACUGUUAUUUUGUUUCGUUUAAGCAAUUUUCAGCAACAAAAUUUCUUUUGAACAGAUGAAUUUGUAAGAAAAGAAAAGGAAAAUAGGACAAUUGAAUAGUCUCUUUAAGAAAGUCCCAGAGAGGCUUAGUUGAUCCAUCAUUAAUGUUUUAUCCCGGCUAUUACAUCAUCAAGACCGUGGAUUGAGAAACGGUUAGAUUGAAAAGAGAAAAACAAUAAAUUGCAGCUUUGUCACUCUAGCUCAGAUUUGGGCCCAUAAUACCUUUUUAGAAAGAGAACGACAAGACGAAUUGAACUCAUGUCAUAGCUGUGAUGUGUGAUGAAUUUUAACCAUUAGAAUUCGUUUAAAACUCGAAAACUGCCUUUAAAAGUUUUAGUACUAUUUUUUAUUUUGAAUUCUUAACAAUUUAUAUCUUUUAUGCUAGUUUUUAUUUUUUUAUUUAUCAUUUAAACGCUUAUAAAUAAAGGAUUAAUUCAUUGUUUUUGGGCAUCUUGAAAUUAAAAAAACUUCUUGACUUAUAUCUUUCAUUCUUUGGUGGAUUCUGGAUUUGUGUUCUUAAAGUUUUCGUUUGAAUUAUUUGUUUUGUGCUGCGCCAAAGACCAUGAACAUGAGCAGUGUCAUCGUCUACUUGAAGUCUUGAAGUAUGGUACCAGUUCCGCCAAGAUCUCUUCCUUAGUUGCAGAAAGAAUCUGCACAACUGGAAACGUAACCUGAUAAACUAUGGGACAAUCAUUUUUUCUUAAUGUGUUCAAAAUCUGUUCUCUCCUGUAUCUUUGCCUAAGGACACUUAAGUAUUGCAAAACACUUGACACUGAGCCCACAAGAGUCGAUGUUUGAAUUCUUCGAAACAUUCAGUCGUAUCUAGUUUUAUGUCUCUUUUUAUUAACCUAGACUGAUCUGCGAGAUGUUUAUUUGCUCGUUAUUUAGGUGAUAUGUGCGGUGGUACAGGAAAAUGGAAAGCUUAGAAAGAAUAAGGGCCAAAGAUGUUUACGAGUUUCCAGAAUGUCCAAAUUGUUACGGUUUGUUACUCAUCACAACUCAUAGAUUCAUUAAUAUGAAGUUUGGUUCUUCACUCUGGAUUCUCCAUAGAUGCUCAUUAUGCUGUUGAACUAUUACUGUCGGUAAUUAGUAUGAUAGAAGAUUAUAGAGAUAAUACUGACAGGAAAUUAUGAUGAUGGAACGUUAACAGCAUAAUCAAGAAAGGACAACAGUGCAAUGUUCAUUUCAAUUGCAUUUUGAGUACUUUUUCCACACAAAACCUGCCAAAUAAAGAACUUCUCUCAUUACUCAGUUCGAGCUCCUAAAUAUUUAUCGAUGGUUUGAAUCUGUAGCAUUUAUGAUACGUGACAGGUGGGUUUUGGUGCAGGUCGAGGGAAACUAGUGUGUCCCGUGUGCCUGGGGACUGGUUAGCCGAACAACAAGGUCUUCUAAGGCGGCCAGAUGCACGGCAGUUGCUUGAAAAUAUGUAUAAUGGACGUUUAUUACCAAACUCUUUAGGAAAAAUCUUAUCAGAAGUCCACUCUAAAAGAGAACUAGCUCACCAGAAAUAGAUUUUCAAUAGCAGUAAUCUCUUUUCAAGACAACUUUUUCA
Molecule: long non-coding RNA, 1811 nt
Filed under: Olea europaea subsp. europaea
Lineage: Eukaryota; Viridiplantae; Streptophyta; Magnoliopsida; Lamiales; Oleaceae
Source: RNAcentral